UACGUAGGGUGCAAGCGUUGUCCGGAAUUAUUGGGCGUAAAGAGCUCGUAGGCGGUCUGUUGCGUCGGCCUGUAACGAACCGGGCUACACUCGGCGUGCGCCGAUACGGGCAGACUAGAGUCGCAGGGGAGACUGGAAUUCCUGGUGUAGCGGUGGAAUGCGCAGAUAUCAGGAGGAACACCCGGUGGCGAAGGCGGGUCACUGGCG
This 207-nucleotide ribosomal RNA is filed under the name uncultured bacterium. RNAcentral describes it as "partial 16S ribosomal RNA". It matches the Rfam family "Bacterial small subunit ribosomal RNA", at positions 524 to 737 of the family's 1533-position model. The record is from RNAcentral.